Molecule: ribosomal RNA, 256 nt
Filed under: uncultured bacterium
Lineage: Bacteria
Description: partial small subunit ribosomal RNA
Rfam family: Bacterial small subunit ribosomal RNA
Source: RNAcentral
AGGACGAACGCCCUGGCGGCGUGCUUAACACAUGCAAGUCGAGCGGAAAGGCCCUUCGGGGUACUCGAGCGGCGAACGGGUGAGUAACACGUGAGCAACCUGCCCUUAGCUCCGGGAUAGCUCCGGGAAACCGGAAUUAAUACCGGAUACGACCACGGCCGACAUCUGCUGUGGUGGAAAGGAUUCCGGCUAAGGAUGGGCUCGCGGCCUAUCAGCUAGUUGGUGGAGUAACGGCCCACCAAGGCGACGACGGGUA